Dreissena polymorpha is the source of this 377-nucleotide long non-coding RNA. RefSeq lists it as uncharacterized. NCBI's taxonomy places the organism in Eukaryota, Metazoa, Mollusca, Bivalvia, Myida, Dreissenidae. The transcript has 3 exons. The record is from RefSeq and is a predicted model, not a curated record.
GUUUGCAAAAUGGUGCGGUACACAACUGAGAAGUAUUUAAACGAUUUUAAUGGCUUAAUGUAAGUAAUACGUUCACAACACGGUUGAUGAAUGGAAAGAUACAUCAAAACAACGGCUUGCAUAUGAAAAUUGAGUACAGCAUGAUGAUAGCUGGAUACACCCAUUUUGCCCCAGAUCAGCACUUUGGCAUUUGGAAGAACACGUUUACUAACAUGGAUGUAGAAAUACGACAGGAGUCGGAAGCUGCGUGGUCACAACUGCCCACCUAUUGUGUACGAGACAUUUGAUAUCUCUGAAUGGCGUUUGUUUGUGUUAUUGAAGGGAAUUUUUCAGCACCAUAAGGUUGCGCUCAAUUCAACAGAUCCUGGACUUGUUAC